RNAcentral lists this ribosomal RNA (253 nucleotides) under uncultured bacterium. RNAcentral describes it as "partial 16S ribosomal RNA". It matches the Rfam family "Bacterial small subunit ribosomal RNA", at positions 524 to 776 of the family's 1533-position model. The record is from RNAcentral.
UACAGAGGUCUCAAGCGUUGUUCGGAUUCACUGGGCGUAAAGGGUGCGUAGGCGGCGCGGUAAGUCGGGUGUGAAAUCUCGGAGCUUAACUCCGAAACUGCAUUCGAUACUGCCGUGCUUGAGGACUGGAGAGGAGACUGGAAUUUACGGUGUAGCGGUGAAAUGCGUAGAUAUCGUAAGGAAGACCAGUGGCGAAGGCGGGUCUCUGGACAGUUCCUGACGCUGAGGCACGAAGGCCAGGGGAGCAAACGGG